CCUUGGGGAUUAUUAGUGUACGUCCAGUUGCAUAUAUUUUACAUGAAUGUUGGAACAAUUGUGAUGAUGACGAAUUUCGUCCUUUAUUCGAGAACAAUCUAAUUGAUAUAUAAAUCUGUGAGUUUACUAUGUUCUUAACUUCGAUGAACCAAAGCAAGUUAUAAAUUGACCUGUAUUUAAAUCAAAUUGUUUCUUUUUUUUUCUUCUUCUUCUUUUGGUAUACAAUAGUCUAUCGAAUUCGUUGAUUACAUACUGUUGGCAUACGUGGACUAGUCUAUUAAUUUACAAAACUUUUACCACAAUUUACACAAAAUGUAUGUUUCUUUCUUAUGUUCAAUGUAUACAUGUAUACAUAUUUUAAAUUGCGCUACUGACUAUAGUUCCGUAACUUUCUACCCAGGCGUAUGUAUACACGAAUCGUCGACAAGUGCGCACAUUUUUUUAAAUCAAUAAUUCUGGUAUGUUCCAAUCUGUCCUAAACUAUUGACAACGAGUAUAUAUUACAUUUUCCCAAAUUAACCCUUGGAAAAAUAUGUAAAUAGAUUUGUAUUUCUUCAAUUUUUUUUUUUGUAUUAUUUUUUUUUUAUAAAUAAUAUUCUUUACACCAGAAAUGUUAUUUAUAAACAAGCGUAUGAGUUCAGUAAUGACUAGUAUAUUAUAU
This 661-nucleotide long non-coding RNA is filed under the name Mytilus galloprovincialis (Mediterranean mussel). Lineage: Eukaryota; Metazoa; Mollusca; Bivalvia; Mytilida; Mytilidae. The record is from RNAcentral.